Molecule: ribosomal RNA, 480 nt
Filed under: uncultured organism
Description: bacterial SSU rRNA
Rfam family: Bacterial small subunit ribosomal RNA
Source: RNAcentral
AUUGAACGCUGGCGGCAUGCCUUACACAUGCAAGUCGAACGGUAGAAGGGGCAACCCUUCGAGAGUGGCGAACGGGUGAGUAAAGCAUCGGAACGUGCCCAGUCGUGGGGGAUAACACUUCGAAAGAAGUGCUAAUACCGCAUACGACCUGAGGGUGAAAGCGGGGGACCGAAAGGCCUCGCGCGAUUGGAGCGGCCGAUGUCAGAUUAGGUAGUUGGUGGGGUAAAGGCCUACCAAGCCUGCGAUCUGUAGCUGGUCUGAGAGGAUGAUCAGCCACACUGGGACUGAGACACGGCCCAGACUCCUACGGGAGGCAGCAGUGGGGAAUUUUGGACAAUGGGCGCAAGCCUGAUCCAGCCAUGCCGCGUGCAGGAAGAAGGCCUUCGGGUUGUAAACUGCUUUUGUCAGGGAAGAAAUCUUUUGGGUUAAUAACCUGGGAGGAUGACGGUACCUGAAGAAUAAGCACCGGCUAACUACGUG